UCCCUGCUGGCUCAGUGGUAAAGAAUCUGUCUGCAAUGCAGGAGAUGCAGGUUCGAUCCUUGGGUUGGGAA
Molecule: transfer RNA, 71 nt
Filed under: Bos taurus (domestic cattle)
Lineage: Eukaryota; Metazoa; Chordata; Mammalia; Artiodactyla; Bovidae
Rfam family: tRNA
About the family: Transfer RNA (tRNA) molecules are approximately 80 nucleotides in length. Their secondary structure includes four short double-helical elements and three loops (D, anti-codon, and T loops). Further hydrogen bonds mediate the characteristic L-shaped molecular structure. tRNAs have two regions of fundamental functional importance: the anti-codon, which is responsible for specific mRNA codon recognition, and the 3' end, to which the tRNAs corresponding amino acid is attached (by aminoacyl-tRNA synthetases). tRNAs cope with the degeneracy of the genetic code in two manners: having more than one tRNA (with a specific anti-codon) for a particular amino acid; and 'wobble' base-pairing, i.e. permitting non-standard base-pairing at the 3rd anti-codon position.
Source: Rfam by way of RNAcentral